GCCAGACUCCUACGGGAGGCAGCAGUGGGGAAUAUUGGGCAAUGGGCGCAAGCCUGACCCAGCAAUGCCGCGUGAAGGAAGAAGGCCUUCGGGUUGUAAACUUCUUUUAUCAGGGACGAAGGAUGUGACGGUACCUGAUGAAUAAGCUCCGGCUAACUACGUGCCAGCAGCCGCGGUAAUACGUAGGGAGCAAGCGUUAUCCGGAUUUACUGGGUGUAAAGGGCGUGUAGGCGGGCCUGCAAGUCAGAAGUGAAAUCUGGGGGCUUAACCCCCAAACUGCUUUUGAAACUGUGGGUCUUGAGUGAUGGAGAGGCAGGCGGAAUUCCCAGUGUAGCGGUGAAAUGCGUAGAUAUUGGGAGGAACACCAGUGGCGAAGGCGGCCUGCUGGACAUUAACUGACGCUGAGGCGCGAAAGCGUGGGGAGCAAACAGGAUUAGAUACCCUCGUAC
RNAcentral lists this ribosomal RNA (449 nucleotides) under uncultured bacterium. RNAcentral's name for it is "partial 16S ribosomal RNA". It matches the Rfam family "Bacterial small subunit ribosomal RNA", at positions 330 to 793 of the family's 1533-position model. The record is from RNAcentral.